Molecule: long non-coding RNA, 1441 nt
Filed under: Capra hircus (goat)
Lineage: Eukaryota; Metazoa; Chordata; Mammalia; Artiodactyla; Bovidae
Description: lncRNA (ENSCHIG00010026732.1)
Source: RNAcentral
CAUGAUUUGCUGGGAGAAAAGAGGUAUUUUUAAGGCCACUAAAGGGCUUUCCAAACUCAUCUGCCAUCCUCAUCUCUCUAAGUCAACUCAGAUGGGUCACAUGGCAGUGAGAGUGUGUCUCCUCCAAACUUGCUCAUGCUGCACUAUUCAGGGUUUCAUUCUGUUCUCUCUCACAUUUCAACAUUAUAUAGUUUUUAAUAUCUUGCCUAAAAUCCCUCCAUAAGCUGUACUGAAGUGUCUGCUAAAAUGAGAAUCAUUCCACUUUCUUCCUACAAUGUGGUCUUGAAGCACCUUGACGACCAUUUAAUUCUGGGCUACCUACCAGAAACCUUUUCCAUCCCACCUCCUUUUCUCAGUGUUCACAUAGUUCUCCUCAGUUUUCUAGUUUCCAGUCUGAAACCCCUGUCUUCACGCUGUGAAUGCACAGAAUACACUUGCCCUUGCUCCACUUAGAGCUGUCUUGUUUCAAGUCUAGGGCUCAUGGGCAGCUCACUAGAUGUACUACCCAAGCUUGGGUUUUAACAGGGUGAUGGGGAUGAGGCAGAUGAAUGCAUGCUUCAGGUUGUGCUGGAUGAUCCCAAGAAGGAAAUGACAACCUGAGGCUGAUUAGUAUUCCCAUGAAGGAGUGGAGCUUGCAUAGAUGUGUGUGAGCCUCAUGUGCAAACGUCUUCUCAACAUGUGCUCUCACAAGUCUCUUUUCUCAUCUUGUUUUCCUGUUGGCACCUCCAUCGGAGCUUACCUCAGAGUCAAGACCAUGGUGGAAUUCAUUUCCAUGAAGAGCCACCACGACCUUCCAGCUUCUUGGAGGAAACAUGGAGUAAUCAUGUCCUGCCCAUCUAGUUCUCAAGGUCUCUCAUUGAUAUGAUUGGCUUUGGAGGAAAGGGGAAUGAGUUGUGUUCUGCACUGCAGUCCUUGUGUUCCUGAUUGACAAGCAGGGUCAGCCAGCCUGAAGUGCGCCCCUGGGGAUACAGUUUUUUGUAGUAGUGUGACUUCCUGUGAAGUGAUCACUUCCUGGUGUCCAAUGGUUGCUUAUUCACCCAGGAUGCAUCACACUGCUAAAAAUUUUAAGAGGUAGAACAAAGCACACCAUAAGAAAACCCAACAGUUGACUUUUAAAAAGUUUAGAACCAAGAACCUAAAACAUGAUAGAAAAAUGUGAAAAAGACAUGAGCCAGCAGUUUAUGAGAAAGAUGUAGCACAGGUCAUUCACUUUAUUAAGAGAUGUUUAAAAGACAUGAGCAGUCAAUUGAAAAGAAAGAUAUGGAAUUAGACUCUAACCAACCACUUUAAAAAAUAUUUUAUCUCACUAAAGUAAGAAAAUCAUAUUAAAAUUCCCUUGAAAAUAAAAUUGACCCAGAAGUGGCAUAGAUUUUAGAAAUUGCAGAGACAUUAAAAUACUUGGAAUAAUUGUGUUUUGUAUGUUAUAAAAUUAAGUAGAGGC